Molecule: ribosomal RNA, 503 nt
Filed under: Paenibacillus sp. B3
Lineage: Bacteria; Bacillati; Bacillota; Bacilli; Caryophanales; Paenibacillaceae
Description: bacterial SSU rRNA
Rfam family: Bacterial small subunit ribosomal RNA
Source: RNAcentral
CGAACGCUGGCGGCGUGCCUAAUACAUGCAAGUCGAGCGGAGUUCAUUUGAAAGCUUGCUUUCAAAUGAACUUAGCGGCGGACGGGUGAGUAACACGUAGGCAACCUGCCCUUUAGUCUGGGAUAACUACCGGAAACGGUAGCUAAUACCGGAUAAUUCCUUUUGGCUCCUGCCGGAGGGAUGAAAGACGGAGCAAUCUGUCACUAAGGGAUGGGCCUGCGGCGCAUUAGCUAGUUGGUGAGGUAACGGCUCACCAAGGCGACGAUGCGUAGCCGACCUGAGAGGGUGAACGGCCACACUGGGACUGAGACACGGCCCAGACUCCUACGGGAGGCAGCAGUAGGGAAUCUUCCGCAAUGGGCGAAAGCCUGACGGAGCAACGCCGCGUGAGUGAUGAAGGUUUUCGGAUCGUAAAGCUCUGUUGCCAGGGAAGAACGUCCGGUAGAGUAACUGCUAUCGGAGUGACGGUACCUGAGAAGAAAGCCCCCCCUAACUACGUGCCA